This 645-nucleotide long non-coding RNA is filed under the name Salmo salar (Atlantic salmon). RNAcentral describes it as "lncRNA (ENSSSAG00000097684.1)". The record is from RNAcentral. Lineage: Eukaryota; Metazoa; Chordata; Actinopteri; Salmoniformes; Salmonidae.
GGUGGAUGGAUGGACAGAUGGAUGGACAGAUGGAUGUACGACGGACAGAAGGAUGGAUGGAUAAUACAGCUUCUAAGUCUUACCCGUCUACUUGUCCUUGUUGCAUGAUCAUCUUGUGGGACUCUUCUCUCCUGAUGCGACCAUGGAACCAUAGCUGUGUUCUGUGGAUCACUGAAAGACAUAGCAAGAUGAGCGGCGCUCACUGCUUCCAGAGGGUUCUCUAUGACGCGUCCCGUCCUGCCAGAGAAGUCCAUGGCCACCAGAGAGUUCUCAGACACACUCCGCUACAGAGAUGAGGAUAGAGAACUUGUCUGAGCCACGCUACCACGCUUUACAAGGGGAAUUUCCUGUUGAAGUAGAGGGAGAGAUCUGAUUGGCUGAGCUGUCUGGGGGCUCGACCAACGGAGUUCUGCGAUUGGCCAUUUGCUGCAUUGGCCUGAUACUGACACCCCGCCUCAGCACCCUUCCCCCUCUCCCUCUCUCUACUUUCUCCACCCUCCCUUUCACUGUUCUCUUCUCACAUUCCUUCUCCCAUACAGUUUUUCCAGAAACGACAAUCUACCAAGUAUAAAACAGUCAUCUAUCCCAGUAACAGUCAGUAGAAAUAGGUUGGUGGAAACUACUGUAUAGAGAAUAAGAGGGAAG